GAAGUAAAAGUCGUAACAAGGUCUCCGUUGGUGAACCAGCGGAGGGAUCAU
Molecule: ribosomal RNA, 51 nt
Filed under: Discula quercina
Lineage: Eukaryota; Fungi; Ascomycota; Sordariomycetes; Diaporthales; Gnomoniaceae
Also listed under: 1 other name
Description: partial 18S ribosomal RNA
Rfam family: Eukaryotic small subunit ribosomal RNA
Source: RNAcentral